RNAcentral lists this ribosomal RNA (496 nucleotides) under uncultured bacterium. Its description in RNAcentral is "partial 16S ribosomal RNA". It matches the Rfam family "Bacterial small subunit ribosomal RNA", at positions 28 to 506 of the family's 1533-position model. The record is from RNAcentral.
GAUGAACGCUGGCGGCGUGCCUAAUACAUGCAAGUCGAGCGAACGGACGAGAAGCUUGCUUUUCUGAUGUUAGCGGCGGACGGGGGAGUAACACGUGGAUAACCUACCUAUAAGACUGGGAUAACUUCGGGAAACCGGAGCUAAUACCGGAUAAUAUUUUGAACCGCAUGGUUCAAAAGUGAAAGACGGUCUUGCUGUGACUGAUAGAUGGAUCCGCGCUGCAUUAGCUAGUUGGUAAGGUAACGGCUUACCAAGGCAACGAUGCAUAGCCGACCUGAGAGGGUGAUCGGCCACCCUGGACCUGAGACCCGGUCCAGCCCCCUACGGGAGGCAGCAGUAGGGAUUCUUCCGCAAUGGGCGAAAGCCUGUCGGAGCAACGCCGCGUGAGUGAUGAAGGUCUUCGGUUCGUAAAUCUCUGUUAUUGGGGAAGAACAUAUGUGUAAGUAACUGUGCCCAUCUUGACGGUACCUAAGCAGAAAGCCCCGGCUAACUACGU